CCCUUAGAUGUUCUGGGCUGCACGCGUGCUACACUGAUGUAUUCAAUAAGCUCCCAACCCACUCCGAAGGGAUCGGGUAACCUUCGAAAAUCACAUCGUGAUGGGGAUAGACUGUUGCAAUUAUAAGUCUUUAACGAGGAAUUCCUAGUAAGUGCAGGUCAUCAGCUUGUGUUGAUUACGUCCCUGCCCUUUGUACACACCGCCCGUCGCUCCUGCCGAUUGAGUGAUCCGGUGAGUCCUUUAGAGUGUGUUGCAUUUAGUUUCUAUCCGUGACGUGUGAAGUUGAACAAACCUUAUCACUUAGAGGAAGGAGAAGUCGUAACA
Molecule: ribosomal RNA, 324 nt
Filed under: uncultured eukaryote
Lineage: Eukaryota
Description: partial 18S ribosomal RNA
Rfam family: Eukaryotic small subunit ribosomal RNA
Source: RNAcentral